This is a long non-coding RNA of Octopus sinensis (East Asian common octopus), 78 nucleotides long. RefSeq lists it as uncharacterized. The record is from RefSeq and is a predicted model, not a curated record. Lineage: Eukaryota; Metazoa; Mollusca; Cephalopoda; Octopoda; Octopodidae. The transcript is spliced from 3 exons.
UUUGCUUGUCACCUUCAUCAGGUUUUAUUAGCGUCUUGCCCCUCUAACUGGUAAUUAACAUCUCGAUUUAGGGUCUUC